This 75-nucleotide transfer RNA is filed under the name Cordylochernes scorpioides. RNAcentral describes it as "tRNA-Glu". Lineage: Eukaryota; Metazoa; Arthropoda; Arachnida; Pseudoscorpiones; Chernetidae. The record is from RNAcentral.
AGUGCUCAAUGCGGGAAUCGAACCCGGGUCGUAGUGGUCGAGAACCAACGGUUUAGACCAUCCUACCAUCGACAC